Molecule: unclassified non-coding RNA, 1448 nt
Filed under: Homo sapiens (human)
Lineage: Eukaryota; Metazoa; Chordata; Mammalia; Primates; Hominidae
Description: aromatic-L-amino-acid decarboxylase transcript variant 54
Source: RNAcentral
AUGAACGCAAGUGAAUUCCGAAGGAGAGGGAAGGAGAUGGUGGAUUACAUGGCCAACUACAUGGAAGGCAUUGAGGGACGCCAGGUCUACCCUGACGUGGAGCCCGGGUACCUGCGGCCGCUGAUCCCUGCCGCUGCCCCUCAGGAGCCAGACACGUUUGAGGACAUCAUCAACGACGUUGAGAAGAUAAUCAUGCCUGGGGCGGCAAGCCCAGCAUGCACAGAGCUGGAGACUGUGAUGAUGGACUGGCUCGGGAAGAUGCUGGAACUACCAAAGGCAUUUUUGAAUGAGAAAGCUGGAGAAGGGGGAGGAGUGAUCCAGGGAAGUGCCAGUGAAGCCACCCUGGUGGCCCUGCUGGCCGCUCGGACCAAAGUGAUCCAUCGGCUGCAGGCAGCGUCCCCAGAGCUCACACAGGCCGCUAUCAUGGAGAAGCUGGUGGCUUACUCAUCCGAUCAGAUGGUUGCCACCCUGGGGACCACAACAUGCUGCUCCUUUGACAAUCUCUUAGAAGUCGGUCCUAUCUGGUGAAAAAGAGAACAGACUUAACGGGAGCCUUUAGACUGGACCCCACUUACCUGAAGCACAGCCAUCAGGAUUCAGGGCUUAUCACUGACUACCGGCAUUGGCAGAUACCACUGGGCAGAAGAUUUCGCUCUUUGAAAAUGUGGUUUGUAUUUAGGAUGUAUGGAGUCAAAGGACUGCAGGCUUAUAUCCGCAAGCAUGUCCAGCUGUCCCAUGAGUUUGAGUCACUGGUGCGCCAGGAUCCCCGCUUUGAAAUCUGUGUGGAAGUCAUUCUGGGGCUUGUCUGCUUUCGGCUAAAGGGUUCCAACAAAGUGAAUGAAGCUCUUCUGCAAAGAAUAAACAGUGCCAAAAAAAUCCACUUGGUUCCAUGUCACCUCAGGGACAAGUUUGUCCUGCGCUUUGCCAUCUGUUCUCGCACGGUGGAAUCUGCCCAUGUGCAGCGGGCCUGGGAACACAUCAAAGAGCUGGCGGCCGACGUGCUGCGAGCAGAGAGGGAGUAGGAGUGAAGCCAGCUGCAGGAAUCAAAAAUUGAAGAGAGAUAUAUCUGAAAACUGGAAUAAGAAGCAAAUAAAUAUCAUCCUGCCUUCAUGGAACUCAGCUGUCUGUGGCUUCCCAUGUCUUUCUCCAAAGUUAUCCAGAGGGUUGUGAUUUUGUCUGCUUAGUAUCUCAUCAACAAAGAAAUAUUAUUUGCUAAUUAAAAAGUUAAUCUUCAUGGCCAUAGCUUUUAUUCAUUAGCUGUGAUUUUUGUUGAUUAAAACAUUAUAGAUUUUCAUGUUCUUGCAGUCAUCAGAAGUGGUAGGAAAGCCUCACUGAUAUAUUUUCCAGGGCAAUCAAUGUUCACGCAACUUGAAAUUAUAUCUGUGGUCUUCAAAUUGUCUUUUGUCAUGUGGCUAAAUGCCUAAUAAACAAUUCAAGUGAAAUACUAA